This 253-nucleotide ribosomal RNA is filed under the name uncultured bacterium. RNAcentral describes it as "partial 16S ribosomal RNA". It matches the Rfam family "Bacterial small subunit ribosomal RNA", at positions 524 to 776 of the family's 1533-position model. The record is from RNAcentral.
UACGUAGGGUGCAAGCGUUGUUCGGAAUUAUUGGGCGUAAAGCGCGUGUAGGCGGUUUGUUAAGUCUGGUGUGAAAGCCCGGGGCUCAACUCCGGAAGUGCACUGGAUACUGGCGAACUAGAGGACGGGAGAGGGAAGUGGAAUUCCUGGUGUAGGGGUGAAAUCCGUAGAUAUCAGGAGGAACAUCGGAAGCGAAGGCGGCUUCCUGGCCCGUUUCUUACGCUCAGACGCGAAAGCGUGGGGAGCAAACAGG